Dioscorea cayenensis subsp. rotundata (Guinea yam) is the source of this 107-nucleotide small nucleolar RNA. NCBI's taxonomy places the organism in Eukaryota, Viridiplantae, Streptophyta, Magnoliopsida, Dioscoreales, Dioscoreaceae. The record is from RefSeq and is a predicted model, not a curated record.
AAUCAGUGUUACGGGCACUUUCUCAGUAGCUCCUUGAACCUUUCCCACAUCUCAAAUAGGGACUCCAAUUCUGACUCUACAAAGGACGAGAUUUCAUUCCUAAGCUU